RNAcentral lists this long non-coding RNA (450 nucleotides) under Struthio camelus australis. RNAcentral's name for it is "lncRNA (ENSSCUG00000012614.1)". The record is from RNAcentral. Lineage: Eukaryota; Metazoa; Chordata; Aves; Struthioniformes; Struthionidae.
GCCAUAUAUUAAGUGAUUAUGUUGUUGUCUGUUGCAUACUUUUGCUUUGCAGAUUUUGCUUGUAGUACUCAGUUUUUUUGCUCCUCCACUGAUCAUCUUUAAGCUCUGCACCAAAGUAAGGAAACACCGUCUAAUUCCACAAAACUGUGGCAGAAGGACCAGCUGCAGAGAAGGGACAAAACAGUUGCCACAGUCCAAAAUGGAAAAAGAUUUUUCAUUUUGAGGACAAAGCAUAUGCAAAUUUGGUAAGUAAGCAAAAAUCACAAGGAGAUACUACCUAACUAUUGUGAUUGCGAUGGUCUUACAAUUUGACCAAGUUUGGAGGAAUUUUUCACAUAAAUUAUCAAAGAUAGUAGGCUGAGACCAGUCCUCACUUCAAAUCUCAGCAUCAAUAUGGCAACUCAAUGAAUAGUUGUAAAUACGUUUUUAAUAAAAACAAGCAUAUUUUCA